ACACACAGUCUUGUAAGACUUUUGUAGACUUGAUUUUUUUCUUUUUUUUUUUGUUUAAAGGUCUACCCAUCCCUUCCCACCUCAUCCCGGCUGCAUCCUCCUCCUCCUCCUCCUCCUCGUUUCUCCGACUCCCGCGUCAUCCAAUAGCAACGGCGCAGAGGGCGGCAGAUGCGCGACAGAGGAGUGGAUCAUAAAAAGCACAGGGCCUGAAAGAGGAAGUGAAGGGAACCUGCAUAAAUCUGCCGCAUGACAGCUGGAAUCGCCCUGACCGAUACGCUUCGAAUUAGCGUGAAGAGCUUCAACUUUGAUGAGAGCGGCUUCAAAAUAUUGGAAAAGUGUGAACAGGGGCAUACAAAAAAAAAAAAGAAAAAGUCAGGAAACAUCCAAUGGUCAAAAAUGGGGCUGUUAUGGAACACUGGUUCACUUCCCGUUUUGAGAAAAGAAAAACUUCAAGAGGAUAUUAUUUCAGGGAGAAAAAAAAAACGACUUUUAUGAUAACAAGCUAACUUUAUUCAUGAUAUUAUUAAUCGGACGAGAAUUAAGUUUUGAAGAAUAGAAGUUGUACAUUUUCAAGAUGUGUGGUUUUGAAGGCACUCAAUGUCAAAUGUCUUUGUUACAAGUAAAACGACCCAGAAAGAAUAA
Long non-coding RNA from Hippocampus zosterae (dwarf seahorse), 642 nucleotides. RefSeq lists it as uncharacterized. The transcript is spliced from 2 exons. The record is from RefSeq and is a predicted model, not a curated record. NCBI's taxonomy places the organism in Eukaryota, Metazoa, Chordata, Actinopteri, Syngnathiformes, Syngnathidae.